GCUGGGUGUGGUGAUGCAUGCCUGUAAUCCCAGCAGCUAGGGAGGCUGAGGCAGGAGGAUAGCAAAUUCAAAGCCAGCCUCAGCAACCACGAGGUUCUAAGCAACUCAGCAAAACCCUGUCUCUA
RNAcentral lists this small RNA (125 nucleotides) under Marmota monax (woodchuck). The record is from RNAcentral. Lineage: Eukaryota; Metazoa; Chordata; Mammalia; Rodentia; Sciuridae.